AAAAUAAAAAAUUAGCUCGAA
RNAcentral lists this non-coding RNA (21 nucleotides) under Caenorhabditis elegans. Lineage: Eukaryota; Metazoa; Nematoda; Chromadorea; Rhabditida; Rhabditidae. The record is from RNAcentral.